This 719-nucleotide ribosomal RNA is filed under the name uncultured bacterium. RNAcentral describes it as "bacterial SSU rRNA". It matches the Rfam family "Bacterial small subunit ribosomal RNA", at positions 97 to 833 of the family's 1533-position model. The record is from RNAcentral.
GGCGAACGGGUGAGUAACGCGUGACCGACCUUCCCCCCGCACCGGGACAACCGCGGGAAACCGCGGCUGAUACCGGGUACUCCGGGGCCCCCGCAUGGGGGCCCCGGGAAAGCUCCGGCGGCGGGGGAUGGGGUCGCGUCCCAUCAGGUAGUAGGCGGGGCAACGGCCCACCUAGCCGACGACGGGUAGCCGGGUUGAGAGACCGACCGGCCACAUUGGGACUGAGAUACGGCCCAGACUCCUACGGGAGGCAGCAGUGGGGAAUUUUGCGCAAUGGGGGCAACCCUGACGCAGCAACGCCGCGUGCGGGACGACGGCCUUCGGGUUGUAAACCGCUUUCAGCAGGGAAGAACCUAUGACGGUACCUGCAGAAGAAGCCCCGGCUAACUACGUGCCAGCAGCCGCGGUAAUACGUAGGGGGCGAGCGUUAUCCGGAAUGAUUGGGCGUAAAGCGCGCGCAGGCGGCCGCUCAAGCGGGACCUCUAACCCCGGGGCUCAACCCCGGGCCGGGUCCCGAACUGGGCGGCUCGAGUGCGGUAGGGGAGAGCGGAAUUCCAAGUGUAGCGGUGAAAUGCGCAGAUAUUUGGAAGAACACCGAUGGCGAAGGCAGCUCUCUGGGCCGUCACUGACGCUGAGGCGCGAAAGCCGGGGGAGCGAACAGGAUUAGAUACCCUGGUAGCCCCAGCCGUAAACGAUGGGCGCUAGGUGUGGGGGGACAU